ACAGUCCCGGCAGAAUCGGGAAUGCUUGAUGAAAAAAGUCAAGCCCCCCCGGUUUCCGCGAUUCGUCAGAACAGCCCUCGUCAAAAAAGCCGAGACUCCUCCCCGGUGUAUAACGGCACAGAAGACCUCACACAUCUAGAGCACGUGGAGGAUUCCGGCUCACUGAACAUUCCCAAUGAAACAACCAAACCGGAGGAUUUCAACGUUUUAAAUUACAUUUCAGAGGCAGUUGACCGGUUAUUAUGGGAUGCGGCCAACCUUCUUGAUCCAGCAAAUUCUUUGGUGGCAACACCCGGAUCUGAAAUAGAACAAGCUAGAUUUUUCACAGACUUUUCCAGGGCUCUAAAAUCCCGAAAGGUUUUGCUACACAAACGAAUGGGUGUUUUACUCGAGCGACAAUACCGUCAGAAUCUAUCCUUCUGGCAUAGAGCAAUUCCACGUAUGUUAAAUAGCAAUCCGAUUAAAAAACGCAAAUACAGGCCCUAAAAUCAUAUGUGUAACACGGAUCCUUCCAGAAUAACCCAAGAACACACAUCAUUAAUUAUCCAAAUGGCUGAGCCAACAGACAUAGGUGAGACAGUUGAAAACCUGUUAUCACAGAUACCGCCAGAACCCCAAGCUAUAAUUAACCAUAUGAAUGAGGCGGGGGUAGCAGACACAAUACCGAUAGAUGAAAGCAUAUUAUCACAGAUUCCAGCCGAACUCAUAGAAAUUAUUAAUCAAAUGAAUGAGUCAGGGCUGACCGAUGAAAACCUGUUAUCACAGAUUCCCGGAGCCCUCAUAUCGAUAAUUACCCAGAUGAACGAGAGCCUGAGAUCUACUUCUGCACCGCACACCCCACAAAACCAGCCAUUAACGCCCUUGUCAGAAGAGUCUGAAACGCAAUACGACAUUUUUGAGGAAUUGAAAAAUUGUCUAAUAAAUCAGGAUGGAGACGGUAUUGAUAGAAGUGUUCGGGUUGUGUACCGAAAUAAAUUCAACAAUACAGAGAUUCGACAGUUUUUCAAUUUCACAUGGGUGAAUCAGAAUCUUGACUAUGCUGUGUUUUACGUAAUGAUAUUGGACACUGAACGAACUCUUAGACAGGGCAAGAGAUUAUGGCGAACCACGUGAUGUCUUACAGUUGGAAAUUUGUGGAGAUAGCCUGCAUAACACGGUAUCUGUCAUGCCCUGGCCUUAGUUAACUUUGUUUUCUUUAUUAUUUUAGUUAGGUCAGGGUGUGACAUGGGGGAUGUUUGUGUGUUUUUGUCUCGUCUAGGGUGUUUGUAUUGUCCAGGGGGUGUUUGUAGAGUUCAUGGGGUUGUGUUCAUUGUAGGUGUUUAUGUAAGUCUAUGGUUGCCUAGAUUGGUUCUCAAUUAGAGACAGCUGUCUAUCGUUGUCUCUGAUUGGGAGCCAUAUUUAGGCAGCCAUAGUCAUUAGGUAGGUUGUGGGUGAUUGUCUAUGUGUAAGUUGCUUGUGUCUGCACUUAUUGUUUAUAUAGCUUCACGUUCGUCGGUUUGUUGUUUUGUUUAGUUUGUAUAGUAUCUUUCGUUUCGUGUUCGUCUUCAAUAAAAGAAGAUGUAUCAUUA
This is a long non-coding RNA of Salvelinus fontinalis (brook trout), 1568 nucleotides long. RefSeq lists it as uncharacterized. NCBI's taxonomy places the organism in Eukaryota, Metazoa, Chordata, Actinopteri, Salmoniformes, Salmonidae. The transcript has 2 exons. The record is from RefSeq and is a predicted model, not a curated record.